This 29-nucleotide non-coding RNA is filed under the name Homo sapiens (human). The record is from RNAcentral. Lineage: Eukaryota; Metazoa; Chordata; Mammalia; Primates; Hominidae.
UCUCUGAAAAGCUGUUUUCUAGCUGGGCG